AGCGUACACGGUGGAUGCCCUGGCAGUCAGAGGCGAUGAAGGACGUGCUAAUCUGCGAAAAGCGCCGGCGAGGUGAUAUGAACCUUUGACCCGGCGAUGUCCGAAUGGGGAAACCCAGUGUGUUUCGACACACUAUCGUUAACUGAAUACAUAGGUUAACGAGGCGAACCGGGGGAACUGAAACAUCUAAGUACCCCGAGGAAAAGAAAUCAACCGAGAUUCCCCCAGUAGCGGCGAGCGAACGGGGAGCAGCCCGGAGUCUGAAUCAGCUUGUGUGUUAGUGGAACGGUCUGGAAAGUCCGACGGUACAGGGUGAUAGUCCCGUACACGAAAAUGCACAGGCUGUGAACUCGAAGAGUAGGGCGGGACACGUGGUAUCCUGUCUGAAUAUGGGGGGACCAUCCUCCAAGGCUAAAUACUCCUGACUGACCGAUAGUGAACCAGUACCGUGAGGGAAAGGCGAAAAGAACCCCGGCGAGGGGAGUGAAAAAGAACCUGAAACCGUGUACGUACAAGCAGUGGGAGCCUACUUGUUAGGUGACUGCGUACCUUUUGUAUAAUGGGUCAGCGACUUAUAUUCUGUAGCAAGGUUAACCGUAUAGGGGAGCCGAAGGGAAACCGAGUCUUAACUGGGCGUUAAGUUGCAGGGUAUAGACCCGAAACCCGGUGAUCUAGCCAUGGGCAGGUUGAAGGUUGGGUAACACUAACUGGAGGACCGAACCGACUAAUGUUGAAAAAUUAGCGGAUGACCUGUGGCUGGGGGUGAAAGGCCAAUCAAACCGGGAGAUAGCUGGUUCUCCCCGAAAGCUAUUUAGGUAGCGCCUCGUGAACUCAUCUUCGGGGGUAGAGCACUGUUUCGGCUAGGGGGCCAUCCCGGCUUACCAACCCGAUGCAAACUACGAAUACCGAAGAAUGUUAUCACGGGAGACACACGGCGGGUGCUAACGUCCGUCGUGAAGAGGGAAACAACCCAGACCGCCAGCUAAGGUCCCAAAGUCAUGGUUAAGUGGGAAACGAUGUGGGAAGGCACAGACAGCCAGGAUGUUGGCUUAGAAGCAGCCAUCAUUUAAAGAAAGCGUAAUAGCUCACUGGUCGAGUCGGCCUGCGCGGAAGAUGUAACGGGGCUAAACCAUGCACCGAAGCUGCGGCAGCGACACUAUGUGUUGUUGGGUAGGGGAGCGUUCUGUAAGCCGUUGAAGGUGGCCUGUGAGGGUUGCUGGAGGUAUCAGAAGUGCGAAUGCUGACAUAAGUAACGAUAAAGCGGGUGAAAAGCCCGCUCGCCGGAAGACCAAGGGUUCCUGUCCAACGUUAAUCGGGGCAGGGUGAGUCGACCCCUAAGGCGAGGCCGAAAGGCGUAGUCGAUGGGAAACAGGUUAAUAUUCCUGUACUUGGUGUUACUGCGAAGGGGGGACGGAGAAGGCUAUGUUAGCCGGGCGACGGUUGUCCCGGUUUAAGCAUGUAGGCGGAGGUUCCAGGUAAAUCCGGUACCUUAUUAACGCUGAGGUGUGAUGACGAGGCACUACGGUGCUGAAGUAACAAAUGCCCUGCUUCCAGGAAAAGCCUCUAAGCAUCAGGUAACACGAAAUCGUACCCCAAACCGACACAGGUGGUCAGGUAGAGAAUACCAAGGCGCUUGAGAGAACUCGGGUGAAGGAACUAGGCAAAAUGGUGCCGUAACUUCGGGAGAAGGCACGCUGAUAUGUAGGUGAAGCCCCUGCGGGUGGAGCUGAAAUCAGUCGAAGAUACCAGCUGGCUGCAACUGUUUAUUAAAAACACAGCACUGUGCAAACACGAAAGUGGACGUAUACGGUGUGACGCCUGCCCGGUGCCGGAAGGUUAAUUGAUGGGGUUAGCGGUAACGCGAAGCUCUUGAUCGAAGCCCCGGUAAACGGCGGCCGUAACUAUAACGGUCCUAAGGUAGCGAAAUUCCUUGUCGGGUAAGUUCCGACCUGCACGAAUGGCGUAAUGAUGGCCAGGCUGUCUCCACCCGAGACUCAGUGAAAUUGAACUCGCUGUGAAGAUGCAGUGUACCCGCGGCAAGACGGAAAGACCCCGUGAACCUUUACUAUAGCUUGACACUGAACACUGGUCCUUGAUGUGUAGGAUAGGUGGGAGGCUUUGAAGCGUGGACGCCAGUCUGCGUGGAGCCAACCUUGAAAUACCACCCUUUAAUGGCUGGUGUUCUAACGUAGACCCGUAAUCCGGGUUGCGGACAGUGUCUGGUGGGUAGUUUGACUGGGGCGGUCUCCUCCCAAAGAGUAACGGAGGAGCACGAAGGUUAGCUAAUCCUGGUCGGACAUCAGGAGGUUAGUGCAAUGGCAUAAGCUAGCUUGACUGCGAGAGUGACGGCUCGAGCAGGUGCGAAAGCAGGUCAUAGUGAUCCGGUGGUUCUGAAUGGAAGGGCCAUCGCUCAACGGAUAAAAGGUACUCCGGGGAUAACAGGCUGAUACCGCCCAAGAGUUCAUAUCGACGGCGGUGUUUGGCACCUCGAUGUCGGCUCAUCACAUCCUGGGGCUGAAGUAGGUCCCAAGGGUAUGGCUGUUCGCCAUUUAAAGUGGUACGCGAGCUGGGUUUAGAACGUCGUGAGACAGUUCGGUCCCUAUCUGCCGUGGGCGCUGGAGAAUUGAGGGGGGCUGCUCCUAGUACGAGAGGACCGGAGUGGACGCAUCACUGGUGUUCGGGUUGUCAUGCCAAUGGCACUGCCCGGUAGCUAAAUGCGGAAGAGAUAAGUGCUGAAAGCAUCUAAGCACGAAACUUGCCCCGAGAUGAGUUCU
RNAcentral lists this ribosomal RNA (2774 nucleotides) under Enterobacter cloacae. Its description in RNAcentral is "bacterial LSU rRNA". It matches the Rfam family "Bacterial large subunit ribosomal RNA". The record is from RNAcentral. Lineage: Bacteria; Pseudomonadati; Pseudomonadota; Gammaproteobacteria; Enterobacterales; Enterobacteriaceae.